GACGAACGCUGGCGGCGUGCCUAAAACAUGCAAGUCGAACGGAGCCUUCGGGCUCAGUGGCGAACGGCGGAGUAAUACAUGAGGAACGUGCCCUGAAGACUGGGAUAGUCAUUGGAAACGAUGGGUAAUACCAGAUGUGGCAGCUGCUUGGCAUCAAGUAGCUAUUAAAUGGUUUUUCGCUUCAGGAGCGCCUCAUGGCCUAUCAGGUAGUUGGUGGGGUAAUGGCCUACCAAGCCGACGACGGGUAGCGGGUCUGAGAGGAUGAUCCGCUCGAGUGGGACUGAGACACGGCCCACACACCUACGGGUGGCAGCAGUUGGGAAUCUUGCACAAUGGCCUAACGGCUGACGCAGCGACGCCGCGUGUGGGAGGACGCCCCUCGGGGUGUAAACCACUGUUGCCGGGACGAACAUCCUGAUUCUUCAGGACUGACGGUACCGGGUGAGGAAGCACCGGCUAACUCCGUGCCA
RNAcentral lists this ribosomal RNA (470 nucleotides) under uncultured bacterium. Its description in RNAcentral is "bacterial SSU rRNA". It matches the Rfam family "Bacterial small subunit ribosomal RNA", at positions 28 to 510 of the family's 1533-position model. The record is from RNAcentral.